GACGAACGCUGGCGGCGUGCCUAAUACAUGCAAGUAGAACGCUGAAGAGAGGAGCUUGCUCUUCUUGGAUGAGUUGCGAACGGGUGAGUAACGCGUAGGUAACCUGCCUGGUAGCGGGGGAUAACUAUUGGAAACGAUAGCUAAUACCGCAUAAAAUGGAUUAUCGCAUGAUAAUCCAUUGAAAGGUGCAAAUGCAUCACUACCAGAUGGACCUGCGUUGUAUUAGCUAGUUGGUGGGGUAACGGCUCACCAAGGCGACGAUACAUAGCCGACCUGAGAGGGUGCUCGGCCACACUGGGACUGAGACACGGCCCAGACUCCUACGGGAGGCAGCAGUAGGGAAUCUUCGGCAAUAGACGGAAGUCUGACCGAGCAACGCCGCGUGAGUGAAGAAGGUUUUCGGAUCGUAAAGCUCUGUUGUAAGAGAAGAACGAGUGUGAGAGUGGAAAGUUCACACUGUGACGGUAUCUUACCAGAAAGGGACGGCUAACUACGUG
Molecule: ribosomal RNA, 497 nt
Filed under: uncultured bacterium
Lineage: Bacteria
Description: partial 16S ribosomal RNA
Rfam family: Bacterial small subunit ribosomal RNA
Source: RNAcentral